CUGAAUGCACCUGAUCAUGUCUGAUCUUGGAAGCUAAGAAG
Molecule: ribosomal RNA, 41 nt
Organism: Bos indicus x Bos taurus (hybrid cattle)
Lineage: Eukaryota; Metazoa; Chordata; Mammalia; Artiodactyla; Bovidae
Source: Ensembl